RNAcentral lists this ribosomal RNA (419 nucleotides) under uncultured bacterium. RNAcentral's name for it is "bacterial SSU rRNA". It matches the Rfam family "Bacterial small subunit ribosomal RNA", at positions 355 to 771 of the family's 1533-position model. The record is from RNAcentral.
UGAGGAAUAUUGGGCAAUGCCCGAAAGGGUGACCCAGCAACGCCGCGUGGAGGAUGAAUGCCGUAAGGUUGUAAACUCCUGUUAGAGGGGAAGAACAAUCCCGAUCGACUCGGGAUCUGACUGUACCCUCAGAGAAAGCCCCGGCUAACUACGUGCCAGCAGCCGCGGUAAUACGUAGGGGGCAAGCGUUGUCCGGAUUUACUGGGUGUAAAGGGCGCGCAGGUGGGUUUGCAAGUCAGAGGUGAAAUCUCACGGCUUAACCGUGAAAGUGCCCUUGAUACUGCAAAUCUUGAGUUCGGAAGAGAGAGACGGAAUUCCAGGUGUAGUGGUGAAAUACGUAGAUAUCUGGAAGAACACCAGUUGCGAAGGCGGUCUCUUGGUCCGAUACUGACACUCAGGCGCGAAAGCGUGGGUAGCAA